Molecule: ribosomal RNA, 101 nt
Filed under: Geotrichum candidum
Lineage: Eukaryota; Fungi; Ascomycota; Dipodascomycetes; Dipodascales; Dipodascaceae
Description: partial 5.8S ribosomal RNA
Rfam family: 5.8S ribosomal RNA (bases 1-80)
About the family: 5.8S ribosomal RNA (5.8S rRNA) is a component of the large subunit of the eukaryotic ribosome.
Source: RNAcentral
AAUGGCAGAAGUGAAUCAUCAGUUUUUGAACGCACAUUGCUUUUUGGGGUAUCCCCCAAAGUAUACUUGUUUGAGCGUGGUUUCUCUCUGGGAAUGGCUUU